RNAcentral lists this non-coding RNA (82 nucleotides) under Legionella shakespearei DSM 23087. RNAcentral describes it as "Legionella RNA 69". It matches the Rfam family "Legionella RNA 69". The record is from Rfam by way of RNAcentral. Lineage: Bacteria; Pseudomonadati; Pseudomonadota; Gammaproteobacteria; Legionellales; Legionellaceae.
AGACAGCGCUAUCGCGCUUCCUCAGCCCGAACGGCAUCGAAGUAACGACUGGAUAAAACACUCUUGUUAUCAAUAACUCGUU